ACACAUGCAAGUCGAACGGAAAGGCCCUGCUUGCAGGGUGCUCGAGUGGCGAACGGGUGAGUAACACGUGGGUGAUCUGCCCCUUACUUUGGGAUAAGCCUGGGAAACUGGGUCUAAUACUGGAUAGGACCAUGCUGUAGGUGGUGUGGUGGAAAGAUUAGUUUCGGUAAGGGAUGAGCUCGCGGCCUAUCAGCUUGUUGGUGGGGUAAUGGCCUACCAAGGCGUCGACGGGUAGCCGGCCUGAGAGGGUGGACGGCCACAUUGGGACUGAGAUACGGCCCAGACUCCUACGGGAGGCAGCAGUGGGGAAUAUUGCACAAUGGGCGCAAGCCUGAUGCAGCGACGCCGCGUGGGGGAUGACGGCCUUCGGGUUGUAAACUCCUUUCAGCCAUGACGAAGCCUUCGGGUGACGGUAGUGGUAGAAGAAGCACCGGCUAACUACGUGCCAGCAGCCGCGGUAAUACGUAGGGUGCGAGCGUUGUCCGGAAUUACUGGGCGUAAAGAGCUCGUAGGUGGUCUGUCGCGUCAUUUGUGAAAGCCCGGGGCUUAACUCCGGGUUGGCAGGUGAUACGGGCAUGACUGGAGUACUGUAGGGGAGACUGGAAUUCCUGGUGUAGCGGUGAAAUGCGCAGAUAUCAGGAGGAACACCGGUGGCGAAGGCGGGUCUCUGGGCAGUAACUGACGCUGAGGAGCGAAAGCAUG
This 702-nucleotide ribosomal RNA is filed under the name Corynebacterium kroppenstedtii. RNAcentral's name for it is "bacterial SSU rRNA". It matches the Rfam family "Bacterial small subunit ribosomal RNA", at positions 51 to 763 of the family's 1533-position model. Lineage: Bacteria; Bacillati; Actinomycetota; Actinomycetes; Mycobacteriales; Corynebacteriaceae. The record is from RNAcentral.